Molecule: ribosomal RNA, 495 nt
Filed under: uncultured bacterium
Lineage: Bacteria
Description: partial 16S ribosomal RNA
Rfam family: Bacterial small subunit ribosomal RNA
Source: RNAcentral
GACGAACGCUGGCGGCGUGCCUAAUACAUGCAAGUAGAACGCUGAAGGAGGAGCUUGCUCUUCUGGAUGAGUUGCGAACGGGUGAGUAACGCGUAGGUAACCUGCCUGGUAGCGGGGGAUAACUAUUGGAAACGAUAGCUAAUACCGCAUAACAGUAGAUGUUGCAUGACAUUUGCUUAAAAGGUGCAAUUGCACCACUACCAGAUGGACCUGCGUUGUAUUAGCUAGUUGGUGGGGUAACGGCUCACCAAGGCGACGAUACAUAGCCGACCUGAGAGGGUGAUCGGCCACACUGGGACUGGGACACGGCCCAGACUCCUACAGGAGGCAGCAGUAGGGAAUCUUGGGCAAUGGACGGAAGGCUGACCGAGCAACGCCGCGUGAGGGAAGAAAGUUGUCGGAUCGUAAAGCUCGGUUGUAAGAGAAGAACGAGUGUGAGAGUGAAAAGUUCACACUGUGACGGUAUCUGACCAGAAAGGGACGGCUAACUACGUG